This 201-nucleotide long non-coding RNA is filed under the name Solanum tuberosum (potato). RNAcentral describes it as "long non-coding RNA (STUB_LNC006289)". The record is from RNAcentral. Lineage: Eukaryota; Viridiplantae; Streptophyta; Magnoliopsida; Solanales; Solanaceae.
CCCCGGAUUUCAAUCACCCCUAAGACUAGAAAAAAUCAUAGCCAAGGUUUUUGGUAUAUGUGGAGCGAGAGCACGUGCUUGUUGACCCAACCUUUCAUCAUUGCGGUGUAGAUAGCCAGCAUAAACAUUAUUGAGUGCAUCCCUGAGUUGAAGUACUCGAUCUUUGGCCUCAUUCAUAUUGUCAUAACAGUUCUGUAACCA